Molecule: long non-coding RNA, 347 nt
Filed under: Volvox carteri
Lineage: Eukaryota; Viridiplantae; Chlorophyta; Chlorophyceae; Chlamydomonadales; Volvocaceae
Description: long non-coding RNA (VCAR_LNC001516)
Source: RNAcentral
UGCGAUUGUAGGGCCUUGUGUACAGGAUUCGCUCGCACUCACAAAGUUUACGUUUCCAUCCGCGUCUGACUGUCUUGCCAGAGGAGUACCCAUCAGAUGGGAAGCAACCGGGAGUGCAAAUGGCGAAGUAUAAGCACUGGAUGGGCCUGCCCUUUUCGGGAGCCGCGGUCGUCAUGUGGCCAACACAUGCUAAGGUUUUCAUUUGUCGUUUAGCACAUCGUAAGCUAAUGCAGUUUCGUUUAUGUUGCUGGGCUUUGGAGGCAAACAGAGCACGAAGGGGCAAGUACCAUGUCCCCAGGGGGCAGCGGUUUUGCCACUGUUGUGGUCCUAAUAGCCGAAUCGAGGAU